Molecule: ribosomal RNA, 432 nt
Filed under: uncultured bacterium
Lineage: Bacteria
Description: bacterial SSU rRNA
Rfam family: Bacterial small subunit ribosomal RNA
Source: RNAcentral
AGCGAACGCUGGCGGCAGGCCUAACACAUGCAAGUCGAACGAACUCUUCGGAGUUAGUGGCGGACGGGUGAGUAACACGUGGGAACGUGCCUUUAGGUUCGGAAUAACUCAGGGAAACUUGUGCUAAUACCGAAUGUGCCCUUCGGGGAAAGAUUUAUCGCCUUUAGAGCGGCCCGCGUCUGAUUAGCUAGUUGGUGAGGUAAAGGCUCACCAAGGCAACGAUCGGUAGCUGGUCUGAGAGGAUGACCAGCCACAUUGGGACUGAGACACGGCCCAAACUCCUACGGGAGGCAGCAGUGGGGAAUCUUGCGCAAUGGGCGAAAGCCUGACGCAGCCAUGCCGCGUGGAUGAUGAAGGUCUUAGGAUUGUAAAAUCCUUUCACCGGUGAAGAUAAUGACUGUAGCCGGAGAAGAAGCCCCGGCUAACUUCGUG